RNAcentral lists this microRNA precursor (187 nucleotides) under Oryza brachyantha (malo sina). RNAcentral describes it as "MIR812 microRNA precursor family". It matches the Rfam family "MIR812 microRNA precursor family". Lineage: Eukaryota; Viridiplantae; Streptophyta; Magnoliopsida; Poales; Poaceae. The record is from Rfam by way of RNAcentral.
AAUAAGUUGAUUUUUAGUUUUUACAUACAAUCUUUGAUUUUUCGUCUUAUUUAAAUUUUUUUGCGAUCAAUAUUUUUAUUUUUAUUAGAUGAUAAAAUAUGAAUAAUACUUUACACGUGACUAAUUUUUUAAAGUUUUUUAUAAUUUUUAAAAUAAGACAGAUGGUCAAACGCUAGACACAUAAACC